RNAcentral lists this ribosomal RNA (1440 nucleotides) under uncultured organism. RNAcentral's name for it is "partial small subunit ribosomal RNA". It matches the Rfam family "Bacterial small subunit ribosomal RNA". The record is from RNAcentral.
CGCUGGCGGCGUGCUUAACACAUGCAAGUCGAACGGAAAGGCCCUGCUUUUGUGGGGUGCUCGAGUGGCGAACGGGUGAGUAACACGUGAGUAACCUGCCCUUGACUUUGGGAUAACUUCAGGAAACUGGGGCUAAUACCGGAUAGGAGCUCCUGCUGCAUGGUGGGGGUUGGAAAGUUUCGGCGGUUGGGGAUGGACUCGCGGCUUAUCAGCUUGUUGGUGGGGUAGUGGCUUACCAAGGCUUUGACGGGUAGCCGGCCUGAGAGGGUGACCGGCCACAUUGGGACUGAGAUACGGCCCAGACUCCUACGGGAGGCAGCAGUGGGGAAUAUUGCACAAUGGGCGGAAGCCUGAUGCAGCAACGCCGCGUGCGGGAUGACGGCCUUCGGGUUGUAAACCGCUUUCGCCUGUGACGAAGCGUGAGUGACGGUAAUGGGUAAAGAAGCACCGGCUAACUACGUGCCAGCAGCCGCGGUGAUACGUAGGGUGCGAGCGUUGUCCGGAUUUAUUGGGCGUAAAGGGCUCGUAGGUGGUUGAUCGCGUCGGAAGUGUAAUCUUGGGGCUUAACCCUGAGCGUGCUUUCGAUACGGGUUGACUUGAGGAAGGUAGGGGAGAAUGGAAUUCCUGGUGGAGCGGUGGAAUGCGCAGAUAUCAGGAGGAACACCAGUGGCGAAGGCGGUUCUCUGGGCCUUUCCUGACGCUGAGGAGCGAAAGCGUGGGGAGCGAACAGGCUUAGAUACCCUGGUAGUCCACGCUGUAAACGGUGGGUACUAGGUGUGGGGUCCAUUCCACGGGUUCCGUGCCGUAGCUAACGCUUUAAGUACCCCGCCUGGGGAGUACGGCCGCAAGGCUAAAACUCAAAGGAAUUGACGGGGCCCCGCACAAGCGGCGGAGCAUGCGGAUUAAUUCGAUGCAACGCGUAGAACCUUACCUGGGUUUGACAUGGAUCGGGAGUGCUCAGAGAUGGGUGUGCCUCUUUUGGGGUCGGUUCACAGGUGGUGCAUGGCUGUCGUCAGCUCGUGUCGUGAGAUGUUGGGUUAAGUCCCGCAACGAGCGCAACCCUUGUUCACUGUUGCCAGCACGUUAUGGUGGGGACUCAGUGGAGACCGCCGGGGUCAACUCGGAGGAAGGUGGGGAUGACGUCAAGUCAUCAUGCCCCUUAUGUCCAGGGCUUCACGCAUGCUACAAUGGCUGGUACAGAGAGUGGCGAGCCUGUGAGGGUGAGCGAAUCUCGGAAAGCCGGUCUCAGUUCGGAUUGGGGUCUGCAACUCGACCUCAUGAAGUCGGAGUCGCUAGUAAUCGCAGAUCAGCAACGCUGCGGUGAAUACGUUCCCGGGGCUUGUACACACCGCCCGUCAAGUCAUGAAAGUUGGUAACACCCGAAGCCGGUGGCCUAACCGUUGUGGGGGAGCCGUCGAAGGUGGGACUGGUGAUUAGGAC